Molecule: ribosomal RNA, 413 nt
Filed under: uncultured bacterium
Lineage: Bacteria
Description: bacterial SSU rRNA
Rfam family: Bacterial small subunit ribosomal RNA
Source: RNAcentral
AGUGAACGCUGGCGGCAGGCCUAACACAUGCAAGUCGAGCGGCAGCGCGUCCGACCACCCUCGGGUGGUCGGAUGGCGGCGAGCGGCGGACGGGUGAGGAAUGCAUCGGAAUCUGCCUCGUUGUGGGGGAUAACGUAGGGAAACUUACGCUAAUACCGCAUACGACCUACGGGUGAAAGUGGGGGACCUUCGGGCCGUCACGCGAUGAGAUGAGCCGAUGCCGGAUUAGCUAGUUGGCGGGGUAAAGGCCCGACCAAGGCGACGAUCCGUAGCUGGUCUGAGAGGAUGAUCAGCCACACUGGAACUGAGACACGGGUCCAGACUCCUACGGGAGGGCAGCAGUGGGGGAAUAUUGGACAAUGGGGGCAACCCUGAUCCAGCCAUGCCGCGUGUGUGAAGAAGGCCUCGGUUGU